This 303-nucleotide ribosomal RNA is filed under the name uncultured bacterium. RNAcentral describes it as "partial 16S ribosomal RNA". It matches the Rfam family "Bacterial small subunit ribosomal RNA", at positions 507 to 807 of the family's 1533-position model. The record is from RNAcentral.
AGCAGUCGCCGCGGGAAUACGGAGGGUGCAAGCGUUAAUCGGAAUUACUGGGCGUAAAGCGCACGCAGGCGGUCUGACAAGUCAGAUGUGAAAUCCCCGGGCUUAACCUGGGAACUGCAUUUGAAACUGUCAGGCUGGAGUCUUGUAGAGGGGGGUAGAAUUCCAGGUGUAGCGGUGAAAUGCGUAGAGAUCUGGAGGAAUACCGGUGGCGAAGGCGGCCCCCUGGACAAAGACUGACGCUCAGGUGCGAAAGCGUGGGGAGCAAACAGGAUUAGAUACCCCGGUAGUCCCUGUCUCUUAUAC